AAUUUAUCAGUGAUUUUUUUUUUUAAAUUAUCUUUUUUUUUCUUUUUUCUCAAACCUUUUUUGAAACAAUCGUGAUCGAACAUAUUAGUGUAACCUAAAGCCAGUUGGCGUUCCAUCUAUAUGUAGAAAAGCUAAAUCAAUUGUCAAACAAAUUAUCGCCAAAAACUGCAUUCAUGUUAUCAGUAAUAAUGAUUAAUUGUGCCAUUAAU
RNAcentral lists this long non-coding RNA (209 nucleotides) under Salvia miltiorrhiza (redroot sage). RNAcentral's name for it is "long non-coding RNA (SMIL_LNC003857)". Lineage: Eukaryota; Viridiplantae; Streptophyta; Magnoliopsida; Lamiales; Lamiaceae. The record is from RNAcentral.